This 86-nucleotide transfer RNA is filed under the name Ectocarpus siliculosus. Its description in RNAcentral is "Selenocysteine transfer RNA". It matches the Rfam family "Selenocysteine transfer RNA". The record is from Rfam by way of RNAcentral. Lineage: Eukaryota; Phaeophyceae; Ectocarpales; Ectocarpaceae.
GCAAGGAUGACCUUCGCUGGUGCGGAGUGCGGAUUUCAAACCCGUAGGCGAUUAGCGUCGCAGCAGUUCGAUUCUGCCUUCCCUGC